This 253-nucleotide ribosomal RNA is filed under the name uncultured bacterium. RNAcentral describes it as "partial 16S ribosomal RNA". It matches the Rfam family "Bacterial small subunit ribosomal RNA", at positions 524 to 776 of the family's 1533-position model. The record is from RNAcentral.
UACGUAGGAGGCAAGCGUUGUCCGGAGUUACUGGGCGUAAAGCGCACGCAGGCGGUCUGCUAAGUUUGGAGUGACAGUUGGUGGCUUAACUGCCAAAGUGCUUCGAAAACUGACAGACUUGAGGGCUUCAGAGGGACACGGAAUUCCGGGUGGAGUGGUGAAAUGCGUAGAGAUCCGGAGGAACACCAAAGGCGAAGGCAGUGUCCUGGGGAGUACCUGACGCUCAGGUGCGAAAGCCAGGGGAGCGAACGGG